CGAAGGGGCUAGCGUUGUUCGGAUUUACUGGGCGUAAAGACGCACGUAGGCGGAUUGUUAAGUCAGGGUGGAAAUCCUGGAGCUCAACUCCAGAACUGCCUUUGAUACUGGCAAUCUAGAGUCCGGAAGAGGUGAGUGGAACUCCUAGUGUAGAGGUGGAAUUCGUAGAUAUUAGGAAGAACACCAGUGGCGAAGGCGGCUCACUGGUCCGGUACUGACGCUGAGGUGCGAAAGCGUGGGGGAGCAAACAGGAUU
RNAcentral lists this ribosomal RNA (255 nucleotides) under uncultured bacterium. RNAcentral's name for it is "partial 16S ribosomal RNA". It matches the Rfam family "Bacterial small subunit ribosomal RNA", at positions 527 to 779 of the family's 1533-position model. The record is from RNAcentral.